Acinonyx jubatus (cheetah) is the source of this 3278-nucleotide long non-coding RNA. RefSeq lists it as uncharacterized. NCBI's taxonomy places the organism in Eukaryota, Metazoa, Chordata, Mammalia, Carnivora, Felidae. The record is from RefSeq and is a predicted model, not a curated record. The transcript is spliced from 3 exons.
CCCCAAGCGGCGGCGCGGAGGAGCUCAGCCUCGGUCUCGCGAAAUGGAGCGAGACUACGGAAGCCGGAAGCACUGGGUUAAGCAUUUCCUGAGCUAAGGGCUGCCUACGGCUCCGAGGCCCUGGAAAUGUAAAGAUGAAAAAUACUCCUGAUUCUUGAGUGAUGCACAAUCCAAUAGAAGAUUAGACAUAAGAAGAAAUGUGACACAUGCAUGAAAGAACAUAAUAACACAGAUGCUUUUACAAGGAGAAUCUUCUGGCUAAAGGUUAGGGGGAUGUAGCAAUUCAUGUAAGUAAAGUUCAAAUUUUAUUUACUCAAAAAGUAAUAGCAUCCUUUGCUCUAUAUCCCUGUGCCCUUAAGACUAUAACAAAUCAUCCUUGAGUUUCUUGUCCAUAGUUUGAAAAUGGCUUUAUCCUAAGAAUUUUUCAUUUUGAUAAGUGUUUAUCUCAGAAAGAUUAAGCCAGGAUUCUCUAAACUCACCCUUGGGAAGUAUCUUAAUUUAGUUUUUCAAAUUACUCAACCACUGCCAAUGUUAUUUUGACAACUUCUUAUUCAAGAAGUCUCAUGAAUUUAAAAGUUUAUGUAUAGCCAACAGAUCUAUUCCUCAUGAGAUAUGGGAUCUAAGGCAGUGAGACUCCAUUCUUUCUUAUUAGUGGAAGUGACAAGACUUACUAGAAACUGAAACAAUGGGGUCAAGCACUGAAUAAAGAAAAAGGAAAAAAGCAAGGCUGGGAGACUCUCAACCCAAACUAAAACAUUCAUGAUGUCCUAUAAAGAGAUGGUUGUAGUUGGAGUUUCUGAGUAACAGAACACUAUUUAAGAGAAACUGCUGAUGAUCAUAAAAAGUUAUAAGCAAUGACAGGAGAGCCAAGGACAGAGAAGAGAAGAUGAAUUCUUCUUGUCUUGUGUAAAUGGAAGGCCUCAAUGCUUUUCAGUAUGAUUUGUUUAAGCUGCUUGUGGUUAUCAGUGGGAUACACAAGAGAGAUCAAAUUUCAAAGAACAAUUUGAAAUUUUUGAUUAUUUCUGCAUAUCCAGUAAUAAAGACAAUGAAGAAAUAACCAAAAGUUUAAGACAUUCACAUGCUUAUAAAAUAUUUUCACUUAUUCAUUAUUCUUACUUUAAUAAGCACAUAACUUGAGUAUCCUUCAUAUUCUAAUCACUGGAUGAAAUACAAGAAAAAAGAAAAAGGUCCUUGCCCUUAAGGUGUUUAAAAUCUAUUUGGAAGUAAAAUAUAAUGCUUUUGUUUUGAUUAACUCUCCAUGUUGCUCUAAUAAACUAACUCAUAUGAAGCUUAAAAAUUCAAGUAAAAGUUUUUCCUUUGAAAUGCUUGCGAGAAGUUGAGAAUAGCAUUUCCUUUAUGUAAAAACUGGCUAAAAGAUAAUGCAGCCUAUUCUAUUAGGCUAUUAGAGCCAAAUUUAUUCAUCUUCAAUAUGCUGUAAUUUUAUUCAGAACCUAUUUUUAUUCUGCUAUAUUCUUCAACCCUAAAAUUCACAUGGCCCAAGGGAAAAACAUCUUGGAAUGUAUCAUCUGUUCCACUCAGUAGUUAGACUGCUGAAGUUCCAACAGCUGGAACAUAUUCCUGCUUUGCAUCAUCUCCCUUUAUCCCCAUGGAGCCCUUUAGACUUGUUCUUACUCCCCCUGCUGUCCUUGGGGGAAAGCUUUUAGCAUCUGGUAGCUGGGACUACACGUAAGUUAGAUAUAGAUGCUUUUCUCUGCUGUUUAUGGUCAGUAUUUCAGUUUUCUAGUUCAGUCUGAGCAUGUAAAGCAUGAUAGUGGAGGUGUGUAUGUUUUUCAGGCAGGUGGGAGUUCUGGCAAGGUGGUAUGAGACUAGAAACUAUGUAACAUUAGCUCCUUUGAUAAAGAUGCUUAAGCUACUUCCUUGGGAGAUGAGAAAAUUCUAGGGAAAUGUAACAGUUGUCUUAAAAACCCUGAAAGGUUGAUAUUUGAAUUCAAAAAAGAUUUUGGUGGCUCUUGGAGUCCUAGUAACUCCUAAGGAGUGGAGGAUAGUGGGAGCAACUUUUGGCUCAGCCUCAAAAAAAGAAUUUUCCUAUCCCUAUUGAAGCAGAAGCUCAAUGACUACUUAUGGUCUUUUUUUUUAAAUUUUUUUUAACAUUUAUUUAUUUUUGAGAAACAGAGAGAUAGCAUGAGUAGGGGAGGGGUAGAGGGAGAGAAAGGAAGAUACAGAAUUCAAAGUAGGCUCCAGGCUCUGAGCUGUCAACACAGCCUGACACAAGGUUCAAACCCAUGAAACAUGAGAUCAUGACCUGAGCCGAAGUCGGACGCUUAACCGACUGAGCCACCUAGUACCCCAACUGCUUGUGAUCUUGUAGAGGUGAAGUAAAUGGGAUUAGUCAAGGUGAUGGGACCUGGAUGGGAGUUAGGAUAAGGAUGGCAAAUUGGUUUAAUUCCCCUGCCAACUGUGAUCAACUGGUAAAGCCUGCCUGGAGUCCAAUGGGCCUCUGACACUGUCCAAGCUCACGAGGAAGUGCUGUGAUUGAUUACAAUAGAUUUGCAUGCCAUACAUUUUCUCCCUCUGGGAUGUUACUUCACUAUUAUUUCCAUUCCUUAGAUUCUGUGAUCAUCACUGCUUGGUGUUACUACCAGUUCAAUAUACCCAGCCAGCUCUGUGCAUUCAAAACACAAUUUCAUAUCUACAGUACUUGUCUACUACUUCUUACCUUUUGUUACCCUUGAGUGGUUAAGUAUAUAAUUGAGUUGACCUGAUUAGACUGAAAGAUUAUAGGAAUUUUACUUCCUGCUAUAAUGAAAUUACAAGGAAGCAUAGUGGUAUAUUGGAACAUAAUUUGACUUCUACCCUCACCAUUUCACUGAGACUACAUCCACCAAUGGUGCCACAAAUGAUGUAUGUGUUUCCAAAGGCAUGAACACUUGACAGCUUCUUGAAAUAUUUUUGUCUCUUGGCUCUUACCAUGCUAUUUCCUUCUGCUUUUCUCUCACCUCACUACUUCUUCUUAGUAUCAUUUACUCUCAUCCAAGGACCAAAGUAAGAUCCUCUUCAAGAGAUGAUUAAAAUGUAUCUACUCUCUCAUCUGCCCAUUCCUGUAGAUUUUAAUUCUGUUCUUAUAUUGAUAAUUCCAAAAUUUCUAAACAUAGGUGAGAACUUUAAUUUUCACUCUUUUUUCUAAUCACUUGCUUGAAAUUACCUGUUAGAUGGUUCACCUAAAACUUGCCAUUCAAUAUGGACUCCUGAUCCAUCCCCUACUUUGUUUUCUUGUCCUCUUAAUCAUUCCAUAACAUAAUUAGCCACCCGGGUCCUCA